RNAcentral lists this ribosomal RNA (1070 nucleotides) under Acinetobacter sp. enrichment culture clone MRHull-Fe-10A. RNAcentral's name for it is "bacterial SSU rRNA". It matches the Rfam family "Bacterial small subunit ribosomal RNA", at positions 336 to 1397 of the family's 1533-position model. Lineage: Bacteria; Pseudomonadati; Pseudomonadota; Gammaproteobacteria; Moraxellales; Moraxellaceae. The record is from RNAcentral.
CUCCUACGGGAGGCAGCAGUGGGGAAUAUUGGACAAUGGGCGAAAGCCUGAUCCAGCCAUGCCGCGUGUGUGAAGAAGGCCUUUUGGUUGUAAAGCACUUUAAGCGAGGAGGAGGCUACUUAGAUUAAUACUCUAGGAUAGUGGACGUUACUCGCAGAAUAAGCACCGGCUAACUCUGUGCCAGCAGCCGCGGUAAUACAGAGGGUGCGAGCGUUAAUCGGAUUUACUGGGCGUAAAGCGUGCGUAGGCGGCUUCUUAAGUCGGAUGUGAAAUCCCUGAGCUUAACUUAGGAAUUGCAUUCGAUACUGGGAAGCUAGAGUAUGGGAGAGGAUGGUAGAAUUCCAGGUGUAGCGGUGAAAUGCGUAGAGAUCUGGAGGAAUACCGAUGGCGAAGGCAGCCAUCUGGCCUAAUACUGACGCUGAGGUACGAAAGCAUGGGGAGCAAACAGGAUUAGAUACCCUGGUAGUCCAUGCCGUAAACGAUGUCUACUAGCCGUUGGGGCCUUUGAGGCUUUAGUGGCGCAGCUAACGCGAUAAGUAGACCGCCUGGGGAGUACGGUCGCAAGACUAAAACUCAAAUGAAUUGACGGGGGCCCGCACAAGCGGUGGAGCAUGUGGUUUAAUUCGAUGCAACGCGAAGAACCUUACCUGGUCUUGACAUAGUAAGAACUUUCCAGAGAUGGAUUGGUGCCUUCGGGAACUUACAUACAGGUGCUGCAUGGCUGUCGUCAGCUCGUGUCGUGAGAUGUUGGGUUAAGUCCCGCAACGAGCGCAACCCUUUUCCUUAUUUGCCAGCGGGUUAAGCCGGGAACUUUAAGGAUACUGCCAGUGACAAACUGGAGGAAGGCGGGGACGACGUCAAGUCAUCAUGGCCCUUACGACCAGGGCUACACACGUGCUACAAUGGUCGGUACAAAGGGUUGCUACCUAGCGAUAGGAUGCUAAUCUCAAAAAGCCGAUCGUAGUCCGGAUUGGAGUCUGCAACUCGACUCCAUGAAGUCGGAAUCGCUAGUAAUCGCGGAUCAGAAUGCCGCGGUGAAUACGUUCCCGGGCCUUGCACACACCGCCCGU